UACGUAGGGUCCGAGCGUUGUCCGGAAUUAUUGGGCGUAAAGGGCUCGUAGGCGGUUUGUCGCGUCGGGAGUGAAAACCGGGUGCUUAACACCUGGCUUGCUUUCGAUACGGGCAGACUGGAGGUAUGCAGGGGAGAACGGAAUUCCUGGUGUAGCGGUGAAAUGCGCAGAUAUCAGGAGGAACACCGGUGGCGAAGGCGGUUCUCUGGGCAUGACCUGACGCUGAGGAGCGAAAGUGUGGGGAGCGAACAGGAUUAGAUACCCCAGUAGUCC
Molecule: ribosomal RNA, 273 nt
Filed under: uncultured bacterium
Lineage: Bacteria
Description: partial 16S ribosomal RNA
Rfam family: Bacterial small subunit ribosomal RNA
Source: RNAcentral